RNAcentral lists this ribosomal RNA (279 nucleotides) under uncultured bacterium. RNAcentral describes it as "partial 16S ribosomal RNA". It matches the Rfam family "Bacterial small subunit ribosomal RNA", at positions 506 to 784 of the family's 1533-position model. The record is from RNAcentral.
UGCCAGCCGCCGCGGUAAUACGGAGGGGGCGAGCGUUGUUCGGAAUUACUGGGCGUAAAGGGCGCGUAGGCGGAUGAUCAAGUCAGUGGUGAAAGUCCUGGGCUCAACCUGGGGACUGCCUUUGAAACUGAUUGUCUUGAGACCGGGAGAGGAUGGCGGAAUUCCCAGUGUAGAGGUGAAAUUCGUAGAUAUUGGGAAGAACACCGGUGGCGAAGGCGGCCAUCUGGACCGAAUCUGACGCUGAGGCGCGAAAGCGUGGGGAGCAAACAGGAUUAGAUA